CCCUUAGAUGUUCUGGGCCGCACGCGUGCUACACUGAGUGGAUCAGCGGGUCAGGUUGCGCGAAAGUGUUUCCUAAUCUUUAAAUCCGCUCGUGAUGGGGAUUGACGGUUGCAAUUUUCCGUCAUGAACGAGGAAUACCUUGUAAGCGCGGGUCAUCAUCCCGCGCUGAAUACGUCCCUGCCCUUUGUACACACCGCCCGUCGCUCCUACCGAUUGAGUGGUCCGGUGAGGCUUUGGGAUCUGGGCGGAAAGAGCGUUUCGCUGUUUCUGCCCGGAAAACUCAGUCGAACCUUAUCAUUUAGAGGAAGGAGAAGUCGUAACAA
This 323-nucleotide ribosomal RNA is filed under the name uncultured eukaryote. RNAcentral describes it as "partial 18S ribosomal RNA". It matches the Rfam family "Eukaryotic small subunit ribosomal RNA", at positions 1470 to 1797 of the family's 1831-position model. The record is from RNAcentral.